UGGGCCGGCCUGCCUUGGGCCAGGGGGAAGCCAGGGAAGCUGGGCUGGCCGAAAGCCACCAGGUAAGUCUUCUCUUUUUUUCGUUUUUUUUUCCUUUUCCAAAACCUUUUCCAAAAGGGAUUUUAAAUCAUUCUCAAAGAUUAAACAAAACACACAGUACAAAAUUAAAUAUGCUUUAGCAUGAAUGCAUAAACAUGUUGCUAAAACCUAU
Molecule: long non-coding RNA, 211 nt
Filed under: Sorghum bicolor (sorghum)
Lineage: Eukaryota; Viridiplantae; Streptophyta; Magnoliopsida; Poales; Poaceae
Description: long non-coding RNA (SBIC_LNC004733)
Source: RNAcentral